Molecule: ribosomal RNA, 253 nt
Filed under: uncultured bacterium
Lineage: Bacteria
Description: partial 16S ribosomal RNA
Rfam family: Bacterial small subunit ribosomal RNA
Source: RNAcentral
UACGUAGGGUGCGAGCGUUGUCCGGAAUUAUUGGGCGUAAAGAGCUUGUAGGCGGUUUGUCGCGUCUGCCGUGAAAAUCCGGGGCUCAACCCCGGACUUGCGGUGGGUACGGGCAGACUAGAGUGUGGUAGGGGAGACUGGAAUUCCUGGUGUAGCGGUGAAAUGCGCAGAUAUCAGGAGGAACACCGGUGGCGAAGGCGGGUCUCUGGGCCGUAACUGACGCUGAGGAGCGAAAGCCAGGGGAGCAAACGGG